UCGAGCGGACAGAUGGGAGCUUGCUCCCUGAUGUUAGCGGCGGACGGGUGAGUAACACGUGGGUAACCUGCCUGUAAGACUGGGAUAACUCCGGGAAACCGGGGCUAAUACCGGAUGGUUGUUUGAACCGCAUGGUUCAGACAUAAAAGGUGGCUUCGGCUACCACUUACAGAUGGACCCGCGGCGCAUUAGCUAGUUGGUGAGGUAACGGCUCACCAAGGCAACGAUGCGUAGCCGACCUGAGAGGGUGAUCGGCCACACUGGGACUGAGACACGGCCCAGACUCCUACGGGAGGCAGCAGUAGGGAAUCUUCCGCAAUGGACGAAAGUCUGACGGAGCAACGCCGCGUGAGUGAUGAAGGUUUUCGGAUCGUAAAGCUCUGUUGUUAGGGAAGAACAAGUGCCGUUCAAAUAGGGCGGCACCUUGACGGUACCUAACCAGAAAGCCACGGCUAACUACGUGCCAGCAGCCGCGGUAAUACGUAGGUGGCAAGCGUUGUCCGGAAUUAUUGGGCGUAAAGGGCUCGCAGGCGGUUUCUUAAGUCUGAUGUGAAAGCCCCCGGCUCAACCGGGGAGGGUCAUUGGAAACUGGGGAACUUGAGUGCAGAAGAGGAGAGUGGAAUUCCACGUGUAGCGGUGAAAUGCGUAGAGAUGUGGAGGAACACCAGUGGCGAAGGCGACUCUCUGGUCUGUAACUGACGCUGAGGAGCGAAAGCGUGGGGAGCGAACAGGAUUAGAUACCCUGGUAGUCCACGCCGUAAACGAUGAGUGCUAAGUGUUAGGGGGUUUCCGCCCCUUAGUGCUGCAGCUAACGCAUUAAGCACUCCGCCUGGGGAGUACGGUCGCAAGACUGAAACUCAAAGGAAUUGACGGGGGCCCGCACAAGCGGUGGAGCAUGUGGUUUAAUUCGAAGCAACGCGAAGAACCUUACCAGGUCUUGACAUCCUCUGACAAUCCUAGAGAUAGGACGUCCCCUUCGGGGGCAGAGUGACAGGUGGUGCAUGGUUGUCGUCAGCUCGUGUCGUGAGAUGUUGGGUUAAGUCCCGCAACGAGCGCAACCCUUGAUCUUAGUUGCCAGCAUUCAGUUGGGCACUCUAAGGUGACUGCCGGUGACAAACCGGAGGAAGGUGGGGAUGACGUCAAAUCAUCAUGCCCCUUAUGACCUGGGCUACACACGUGCUACAAUGGACAGAACAAAGGGCAGCGAAACCGCGAGGUUAAGCCAAUCCCACAAAUCUGUUCUCAGUUCGGAUCGC
This 1256-nucleotide ribosomal RNA is filed under the name Bacillus velezensis. RNAcentral's name for it is "bacterial SSU rRNA". It matches the Rfam family "Bacterial small subunit ribosomal RNA", at positions 62 to 1301 of the family's 1533-position model. The record is from RNAcentral. Lineage: Bacteria; Bacillati; Bacillota; Bacilli; Caryophanales; Bacillaceae.